This is a long non-coding RNA of Cyprinodon tularosa, 543 nucleotides long. RefSeq lists it as uncharacterized. The record is from RefSeq and is a predicted model, not a curated record. NCBI's taxonomy places the organism in Eukaryota, Metazoa, Chordata, Actinopteri, Cyprinodontiformes, Cyprinodontidae. The transcript is spliced from 3 exons.
CCCAGUCUGCUUAACUGAACUUCACUGGACCUGGACUUCUGACUGGGAUUCCGGUACCGGAUCAGGAGGAACUGGUUCUGACUCCAUUGGGUGGCAGAACAAGGAGAAAAGUCUGGAUCACGACUGACUGAAGUCUGGAGGAUGGAAGAUUGGGAUCUAAAGGAGGAUAGAGCAGAACGUCCAGGAUCCAGCUGUCCAUCAAUGAGGAGUGACUGGUCAAUAGGUGAACCUCCAGACUUCAGUGCAGAACCUGGAUCCUCUGACAUAAAAGGUCAGAACCGCAGACAGAGAGCAGAACCUCUAGGAUCCAGCUGUCCAUCUUUGAGGAGUGACCGGUCCAAAGAUUCCAGGCCAUACUUCAGUGCAGAACCUGGACCCUCAGACUUGGAGUAAGGAACCAGUUUCUAACUGAUGGAUGUGACUGCAGAGUCAGAACCUCUAGAAUCUGAACUGGGUAAUCUUCACUGGUUUGGACUUUUUCUCAUCAGCAUUACACAGAUUACUGACAGGUCCAAAGUCAUUUUCUCUACUUCGAGCAUGAUA